Long non-coding RNA from Rhododendron vialii, 954 nucleotides. RefSeq lists it as uncharacterized. The record is from RefSeq and is a predicted model, not a curated record. The transcript has 5 exons. NCBI's taxonomy places the organism in Eukaryota, Viridiplantae, Streptophyta, Magnoliopsida, Ericales, Ericaceae.
UUUUUUUUUUUUUUGUUUCUAUUGAACUGUUGCGUUUCAUUUCUUGGGCUUUGAGGUCUGAGAUAACCGUUUGGAAGAGCUUCUUGGGUUUGAUUAGGCGGGUCAAUAGAGGAAGAUGUCAUGAAAUGCAAGUCAAUAGGUUUUUGACCACUGAUCAAUCCAUGUUGAACCAUCGUUUUCUUUUUAAACUUACCGUCAAUUUCUUCUGUUUAUUGUGUGGUGCAGAUGUCUUCUUUCUUACACUGAGGUUGGGGAUGACGAAAGUGGCAAAACAAUUUUAAGAGAACGCCUACUAGGUGUUUGACAGAAUACCUUUAGGAGUCAAAAUAAAAGUUCCAGUGAUUGCAGGCCAGAAGGUGAUAUCAACACCAAUGGAAGGGUUGAAAAUAUAUGGCUUACGUGGGACUACUCUGGUCAAACUGCGGUAAGACUUUGAAAAUUGCAAGAGAGUCGGAUCUCAAGUCUCUCUCCUUGCCUCAAAACGCCAUGUGAGACUCUCUGUUCCACCAACCAAUAGUUUUUGUUGAAAUGCCCAUCGACCGGUACAAACAAAGAGGCUAAGUUGUGGUUGUGCCGCUAGCAAGUUGUCCUACCCAUCUACCAGUACAAACAUGGAGGCUAAGUUUUGGUUCAAGGUAAGAAGCCCUUAAAUAUCAGUUUUGUUUGCUCUACUUAAUCAGUCACAAAAAGAUAAGCAUUCAAUUCUUAUGACUCAUGAGCCUAUUUAGAUGUGUAAGUUCCUCCGCAAGAUACACGAUACGAUACUACGCAUGAUUGAAUGCCAAAUUAGGUACUCCUUUUGAUGUUGUGAUCCAGAUUUGUAAUUUGUUUGUUGACAUUAUGUUGGUUCCAUAUGAGGUAUACUUUGUUCGUAUAGUUAGUCUUGCAAGUUUAUCUAAUGCACCAACUUCACAUCCUUACAUAUCUUUGAACAAAGUUUUGAUUCAUUUUUUC